This 1426-nucleotide long non-coding RNA is filed under the name Junco hyemalis (dark-eyed junco). RNAcentral describes it as "lncRNA (ENSJHYG00000010348.1)". The record is from RNAcentral. Lineage: Eukaryota; Metazoa; Chordata; Aves; Passeriformes; Passerellidae.
CCACAGGCAGAGCAAACCUGGCCUUGGCCCUGAUGCAGCUGAGAUCACCAGUUAAUUGCCUCAUUUUCUGGGCUUUUCAGAAGCCCAUCCUUCAUCCUGCCUCCUCCAACAGUCUGCAACCUCUACAGCAAGGAGAGAAUUUCCACCUCCCAAAAGAUGGGAUGGAGCACCAAGGGGAUCCAGAUCAGUUCUACAACAGCCAGGACAGAUGCCCAUUCCAAAGCAAUUACUGCAUGGGAGAUGCAAAGUGGCUGGAAGAACCUGCUCAUUCUGGGUCUGUAAUGGAGCCUGUGAGGAGCUCAGCUUGCUGGGGUGCCAGCAGGCUUGAAUCCACAGCAUUGACUUGUCUGCAGGGACAUGAGGGGGCUGGAAACAUCCAGGAAGGACACGUAAAACAAAAGCUUUGAGCUCAAAUAAUCACAGCAAAUCUGUGAUUAAUCCUUGGUUUGAAAGCUGGAGCUCUCCCCAAACUCAUGGGCUGACUGGACAAUCCAUCAGAUCCAUUUCACUUGGAAAGGAAGCAGUCAGGAUUUGAUCAACAUCUCAAACCAAAUCAGUGAGCUUGAUUAAAAGUGAACUCUGGGAGCAUUUUCUCAUCAUGGGUUCUCUUCAAAAGAGAUUGCUCUGAGCUCCUCAGCCAGGAGAAAGUGCUACAAGUCAUUUAUCCCUCCUCAUCCUCACGGCCUCCACAGGCACAGAUUUGAAGGGCAUUUCAAGGAGAUGGCACAAAGUAACCCCAGAGUGUGUGAUUGACUCAGGUUGGUGAAAGGGGAGUAAAGGGAGUACAGUUACUGGGUAGGAAACAGGGUCCAUGAAGCAUGCAGGGAUUUCAGACAUGGGAUUUUUUGGAACAUUUAUUGGAACAGACAGGCUAAGAGCGCUGAGGGAUAAAGGAUCCCGAAUCAAACAGGCUAAUUGGUCUCAAAUGGAGUGACUAAGGAACUCUCUCCCUUCCAAAAUGGGUCAAAUUGCAUUUUAGAAGGAGAUCUCUGAAAUUUGAGUGGGAGGCCUGGAUAGAAAAACGAAUGGAUGAACUCAUAAUUGACAUGGAUUCCAUUAUGGCUAAUACCUGUGUCAGGGCUGCCACCGAAUACCGCCUGCAAAUCCAGACUGGGGGAAUUCCCUCCGGAGAUGUGACCCAGGUGAAGCAGACUAUUUGCCAUGAGCCUGUGAGGAACUGAGACUUUAAUUGCAAACAUAUGGCUGGGUAACUUUCCAGCAAGUGAAAACUGGGGGAUAGAGAGAGACCUGCUCUGAAACAGAUGAUCCAGGAAGGCUUUCACUGUCUCCAGUGAUGGGAUUCUGUGCUCUCAUAUCACUUUGUGCUGAACAGAAAACUGAAAAGAAAGGAAAAUUAUGCUAAAAUAUAACUUUGGCACGAAGAGCCCUGUGAUUUUAGGAAGAAUAAAGGUGAAAUUAAGUUUCA